AAUUGAAAGACUAUAAAUUAAUUGAAACCUUGAUGCAUGUAGAUGACCUCAUGGACCAAUUUACACAACUAGUUUAUAAUGAGUUCAGUCCAGAUCACCCAAAAAGAUAUGUUACACUUGUAAAUAGAAAUUACACUUCUAAUUUUUUAUAAGUGCAAGUUAUUUAAAAAUACAAAUAAAAAUUACACUGGUUACUCCUAACUUCUAUUUAU
Molecule: long non-coding RNA, 212 nt
Filed under: Actinidia chinensis (golden kiwifruit)
Lineage: Eukaryota; Viridiplantae; Streptophyta; Magnoliopsida; Ericales; Actinidiaceae
Description: long non-coding RNA (ACHI_LNC003665)
Source: RNAcentral